ACCAGUUAACCCGAAACCUUUCUUGAACAAUCUCACUGGGAAGACCGUAUUCGUGAAGCUUAAAUGGGGAAUGGAAUACAAAGGUUUACGGUGUAGAACCAAAUCCAAUUGAGAGUGCGGUCUAAUACAUAUCUGGAAGACAGUUCUCUACCAGUCUCCCUAAAUACACCUCAUCUAUAGCUCAGAGGAAUCUGAAGAACUU
Molecule: long non-coding RNA, 202 nt
Organism: Rosa rugosa (rugosa rose)
Lineage: Eukaryota; Viridiplantae; Streptophyta; Magnoliopsida; Rosales; Rosaceae
Exons: 3
Source: RefSeq, a predicted model, not a curated record